AAUUAGCCAUGAUUUUGGACUUUAUGCGGCACAGUUUCUUUCACAUUUAAUUGCCAUAAAACCACUUUCCUCCAUGUCAGAUGUUUCAGCAACUUGAGCUUGCUAAGUUUGUUGGUCAGAUUUGGUCUUGCACACUUUUUCAACAUGCCCAAACUGCUUGCAUGAUCUGCAUUGCACUCCAGGCCUAUACCAACAGUAAUUUUCAGAAUGUCCCUUUUUGUUGCAAUGUGUACAAGGCAGGUACCUUCCUUUUCUGCCCUUCCCUUUGUUGCCUUGAUAAUCUUUCUUCUCAUGUUCCUUUUUAUAACCAGCAGGCUUCUUUCCUCCUCCACUUAACUGAGCUUUGCCCUUUUAACUAGCAAGUAGAGCACUU
RNAcentral lists this unclassified non-coding RNA (373 nucleotides) under Hevea brasiliensis (rubber tree). Lineage: Eukaryota; Viridiplantae; Streptophyta; Magnoliopsida; Malpighiales; Euphorbiaceae. The record is from RNAcentral.